Molecule: ribosomal RNA, 496 nt
Filed under: uncultured bacterium
Lineage: Bacteria
Description: partial 16S ribosomal RNA
Rfam family: Bacterial small subunit ribosomal RNA
Source: RNAcentral
GAUGAACGCUGGCGGCGUGCCUAAUACAUGCAAGUCGAGCGAACGGACGAGAAGCUUGCUUCUCUGAUGUUAGCGGCGGACGGGUGAGUAACACGUGGAUAACCUACCUAUAAGACUGGGAUAACUUCGGGAAACCGGAGCUAAUACCGGAUAAUAUUUUGAACCGCAUGGUUCAAAAGUGAAAGACGGUCUUGCUGUCACUUAUAGAUGGAUCCGCGCUGCAUUAGCUAGUUGGUAAGGUAACGGCUUACCAAGGCAACGAUGCAUAGCCGACCUGAGAGGGUGAUCGGCCACACUGUAACUGAGACACGGUCCAGACUCCUACGGUAGGCAGCAGUAGGGAAUCUUCCGCAAUGGGCGAAAGCCUGACGGAGCAACGCCGCGUGAGUGAUGACGGUCUUCGGAUCGUAAAACUCUGUUAUUAGGGAAGAACAUAUGUGUAAGUAACUGUGCACAUCUUGACGGUACCUAAUCAGAAAGCCACGGCUAACUACGU